Molecule: ribosomal RNA, 402 nt
Filed under: uncultured bacterium
Lineage: Bacteria
Description: bacterial SSU rRNA
Rfam family: Bacterial small subunit ribosomal RNA
Source: RNAcentral
UUUUGGACAAUGGGGGCAACCCUGAUCCAGCAAUGCCGCGUGAGUGAAGAAGGCCUUCGGGUUGUAAAGCUCUUUUGUCAGGGAAGAAACAGCAGCUCUAACACAGUCUGCGAAUGACGGUACCUGAAGAAUAAGCACCGGCUAACUACGUGCCAGCAGCCGCGGUAAUACGUAGGGUGCGAGCGUUAAUCGGAAUUACUGGGCGUAAAGCGUGCGCAGGCGGUUAUACAAGACAGGCGUGAAAUCCCCGGGCUUAACCUGGGAGUGGCGCCUGUGACUGUAUAGCUAGAGUGUGUCAGAGGGGGGUAGAAUUCCACGUGUAGCAGUGAAAUGCGUAGAUAUGUGGAGGAAUACCAAUGGCGAAGGCAGCCCCCUGGGAUAACACUGACGCUCAUGCACGAA